This 69-nucleotide transfer RNA is filed under the name Ictidomys tridecemlineatus (thirteen-lined ground squirrel). RNAcentral describes it as "Spermophilus tridecemlineatus (thirteen-lined ground squirrel) tRNA". It matches the Rfam family "tRNA". Rfam says of the family: Transfer RNA (tRNA) molecules are approximately 80 nucleotides in length. Their secondary structure includes four short double-helical elements and three loops (D, anti-codon, and T loops). The record is from Rfam by way of RNAcentral. Lineage: Eukaryota; Metazoa; Chordata; Mammalia; Rodentia; Sciuridae.
GGGGUUGUGGCUCAGUGAUAGAGCGCUUGCCUAGCAUGUGUGAGGCCCUGAGUUCAAUUCUCAGCACCA